GGGGGGGGGCGGGGGGGAGGGCGGCACGGCGCGGGGGGGGGGGGGCACGCACCGGGGGUCCGCGCGCCGUCGGUCUGCGCACCGUGGGUGGCAGCGCCGUGGGUCCCCGCGCCGUGGGUCGCAGCGCCGUGGGUCCCUGCGCCGUGGGUCCCCGCGCCGUGGGUCCCCGCGCCGUGGGUCCCCGCGCCGUGGGUCCGCGCGCCGUGGGUCGCAGCGCCGCGGGCCGCCCCGCAGGCAUCACGGCGCUGUGGUCGCUGGCCAUCAUCUCGUGGGAGCGCUGGUUCGUGGUGUGCAAGCCCUUCGGCAACGUCAAGUUCGACGGGCGGCUGGCGGUGGCCGGGAUCCUCUUCUCCUGGCUCUGGUCCUGCGCCUGGACCGCGCCGCCCAUCUUCGGCUGGAGCAGGUGGGGGGGGGCUGCCCCACGGCUGCCCCACGGCUGCCCCACGGCCGCCCUAUAGCCACCCCAUAGCCUGCCCCACAGCUGUCCUGCCCCACAGCUGCCCCACAGCCGCCCCACGGGCACCCCAUAGCUGCCCCACAGCCGCCCCAUGGCUGCCCCACAGCCAUCCCACGGCCACCCCACAGCUGCCCCAGAGCCACCCCGUGCCCCACAGCCACCCCAUAGCCAUUUCAGAGCCACCCCAUGGCCACCCUGUGUCCCAUAGCCACCUCAGAGCCACCCCGCGGUCACACCGUGCCCCAUAACCACCCCACAGCCACCCUAUAGGCACCCCAUAGCUGCCCCAUAGCCACCCUGCACCCCAUAGCCACCCCAUAGCCACCUCAGAGCCACCCCAUGGCUACCUCCUGCCCCAUAGCUGCCCCAUAGCUGCCCCAUAGCCACCUCAUAGCCACCCCGUGCCCCAUAGCCACCCCACAGCCACCCCAUAGGCACCCCAUAGCUGCCCCAUAGCCACCCUGUACCCCAUAGCCACCUCAGACCCACCCCACAGCUGCCCCACGGCCACCCCGUGCCCCUCAGCCACCCCAUGGCCGCCCCAUGGCCACCCCACGGCCACCCCGUGCCCCACAGCCGCCCCACAGCUGCCCCACAGCCACCCCACAGCUGCCCCAUAGCCACCUCAGAGCCACCCCACGGCCGCCCCGUGCCCCUCAGCUGCCCCAUGGCUGCCCCAUAGCCACCCCACGGCCACCCCAUGCCCCACAGCCACCCCAC
Molecule: long non-coding RNA, 1177 nt
Filed under: Anser cygnoides (Swan goose)
Lineage: Eukaryota; Metazoa; Chordata; Aves; Anseriformes; Anatidae
Description: lncRNA (ENSACDG00005016684.1)
Source: RNAcentral